Long non-coding RNA from Ostrinia nubilalis (European corn borer), 1233 nucleotides. RefSeq lists it as uncharacterized. The transcript is spliced from 6 exons. The record is from RefSeq and is a predicted model, not a curated record. Lineage: Eukaryota; Metazoa; Arthropoda; Insecta; Lepidoptera; Crambidae.
UUAUAUUUCUGGUAAUUUCUGACAAGACCCGACUGGCAACACUGCAAAUAAUCACUAGUGGUCAUACGCCAACGUCACUCGCCCGAAGCCAUAAAAAAGAAAACAAAAACUUCCGGUUCCGGAAGAAAAAACAGCCAAGUGUUUUGCACUUUUGCAGCAUACUCUCUUCUAAUCUGUGUUUUGCAGUGUACAAAAUCAGUGGUAGAACGUAGAACCUACAAGUUUUUUUGUUUUGCACGGUGUUUUAUUUAAUAAACGCUUCUGUUGUGCGAAUUGGACGCGUGACGUGCUGAAGAUUAAAGACUUUGCAUAAUGGAAUCAAAAAAAUUUUUUUUGGUUACAUUUUUAGAUGAAGAUGAUGCUCCUGGCAUAGUUUCAUCAAAGUGGUUAAGAUACCAACACUUGUUAUUACCCUAAUGUAUGCACUGAAGAAAUCAAAAACAAACUUGAAGAAGAUGCCUGCACCUGAAGCAACAUGGUCACAAUAUCAAAUAAAAAUACUUAAAAGUUAUGAAACUUAUGGCGAAGCACGAUUACAUUUAAAAAAAGCGGAAGAAACCUGAAAUUUGGACUCAGACGAAGCAGAAAAUGAUGUUACAAAUGAAGUGACAGUGGACAUAAUGUCUGCUGUAAAUUACCCAGUCACCUCCGGUUCUAAAGAGGCCAAGCAAACACAACUCAAAGCUGUUAACUGCCAAUCAGAGUGCAUUACAAACAAGCAAUAUGCUAUACAGCAGAGUCAUAUGAUUCAGAUUGUGUCAGACCUAGCUAACCAAAUGGCUGAAAUCAAUAGAAAAUUGGAUUUACCGUUAGCUAGGUCCGAAGAAACAUUUUCACCAACAGAUGACAAUGCAGGUCUUUCAGAACUUUUGGCAAGUCUACCAGUAAAGAUAUUGCAAGUUUUAAUAAUUUCGAUGACCAUUUAAAAAUAAACAAGAAUACAGGCAAUAAUGUCAUUUUUGUCUGGUAUUGGCGGCAGAAAUGUAAAAAGCCUUACGACUAAUAUGUUGAGACGAAUAAUUCUAGAUGAUGUAGCCGAGUUGUAUUCGUUAACUGGGAAACAGAUGAAAAAUUCGAAUAAAAAGUCAUUUAUGAGUACAGAAACCUAUAAAUUAAUCUUUCAAAUAUGUAGAAAAAUCAACGAAGAUGUAACUGAAGACAGUCUAAAAGAAAUUAUAAGUGAUUGGCUAAAUCAAGCUAUAGUUAGACUUUCAAGAAGGUAAGAUUUAAUUU